Molecule: transfer RNA, 77 nt
Filed under: Caudoviricetes sp.
Lineage: Duplodnaviria; Heunggongvirae; Uroviricota; Caudoviricetes
Description: tRNA-Pro
Rfam family: tRNA
About the family: Transfer RNA (tRNA) molecules are approximately 80 nucleotides in length. Their secondary structure includes four short double-helical elements and three loops (D, anti-codon, and T loops).
Source: RNAcentral
CGGAUUGUAGUUAAGUCUGGCAGAACGCUUGCUUUGGGAGCAAGAUGCCGUUGGUUCAAAUCCAGCCGAUCCGACCA